Molecule: ribosomal RNA, 341 nt
Filed under: uncultured Pseudomonas sp.
Lineage: Bacteria; Pseudomonadati; Pseudomonadota; Gammaproteobacteria; Pseudomonadales; Pseudomonadaceae
Description: bacterial SSU rRNA
Rfam family: Bacterial small subunit ribosomal RNA
Source: RNAcentral
GGCUGUCGUCAGCUCGUGUCGUGUAGGAUCGUUGGGUUAAGUCCCGUAACGAGCGCAACCCUUGUCCUUAGUUACCAGCACGUUAUGGUGGGCGACUCUAAGGAGGACUGCCGGUGACAAACCGGAGGAAGGUGGGGAUGACGUCAAGUCAUCAUGGCCCUUACGGCCUGGGCUACACACGUGCUACAAUGGUCGGUACAAAGGGUUGCCAAGCCGCGAGGUGGAGCUAAUCCCAUAAAACCGAUCGUAGUCCGGAUCGCAGUCUGCAACUCGACUGCGUGAAGUCGGAAUCGCUAGUAAUCGUGAAUCAGAAUGUCACGGUGAAUACGUUCCCGGGCCUU